RNAcentral lists this non-coding RNA (223 nucleotides) under Cryptomonas curvata. Lineage: Eukaryota; Cryptophyceae; Cryptomonadales; Cryptomonadaceae. The record is from RNAcentral.
GGGGCACCUCUUCGCCGCGGCGCACAUGAGCAACGUCGUCAUCUACUCCACCAACACCGCCGAGAAAGUCGGGGUGCUCAUCUCGCACACGGCGCUGGUGCGGUCGGUGGCGUGGUCGCGCGACGACCUCCGAGUCGCCACGGCGGGCAUCGACGGCGCCGUGUACGAGUGGUCCCUGCAGGACUACAGCCGCAAGGAGGAGCACGUGACCCGCAACGUGCAC